Molecule: non-coding RNA, 245 nt
Filed under: Carnobacterium iners
Lineage: Bacteria; Bacillati; Bacillota; Bacilli; Lactobacillales; Carnobacteriaceae
Description: T-box sequence
Rfam family: T-box leader
About the family: Uncharged tRNA acts as the effector for transcription antitermination of genes in the T-box leader family. T-boxes are found upstream of many aminoacyl-tRNA synthetase genes and some amino acid biosynthetic genes usually in Gram-positive bacteria.
Source: RNAcentral
GUAAAAGCAAAGACGAGAAAAAGUAAGUUUAGAAGUUUACAAGAGAGAUUGCGGGUGGUGUGAGCAAUUAAAAUUCUAAUCUGAACACACAUCUCCAAGCUGACAGUUGAAAAAUUUCAGUAAGCUGAUCCGGUUGUAACCGUUAUAUUACUAGCGUUUAGUAGUCUUGAACGUAAUAAGGUAGUCUUCUGUGAAGAGGCUACAAAAAAAGGUGGUACCACGAUAUAAAAAUUAUCGUCCUUUGA